RNAcentral lists this unclassified non-coding RNA (343 nucleotides) under soil metagenome. RNAcentral's name for it is "partial contains 5.8S ribosomal RNA, internal transcribed spacer 2, and large subunit ribosomal RNA". The stretch from base 1 to 120 matches the Rfam family "5.8S ribosomal RNA", at positions 35 to 154 of the family's 154-position model. The record is from RNAcentral.
GAUGAAGAACGUAGCGAAAUGCGAUAAGUAAUGUGAAUUGCAGAAUUCAGUGAAUCAUCGAAUCUUUGAACGCACAUUGCGCCCGCCAGCAUUCUGGCGGGCAUGCCUGUUCGUGCGUCAUUUCAACCCUCGAGCCCCCCCGGGGGCCUCGGUGUUGGGGGACGGCACACCAGCCGCCCCCGAAAUGCAGUGGCGACCCCGCCGCAGCCUCCCCUGCGUAGUAGCACACACCUCGCACCGGAGCGCGGAGGCGGUCACGCCGUAAAACGCCCAACUUUCUUAGAGUUGACCUCGGAUCAGGUAGGAAUACCCGCUGAACUUAAGCAUAUCAAUAAGCGGAGGA